Molecule: ribosomal RNA, 324 nt
Filed under: uncultured eukaryote
Lineage: Eukaryota
Description: partial 18S ribosomal RNA
Rfam family: Eukaryotic small subunit ribosomal RNA
Source: RNAcentral
CCCUUAGAUGUUCUGGGCCGCACGCGCGCUACACUGAUGCAUUCAACGAGUUUCUUCCUGGUCCGAGAGGAAUGGGUAAUCUUUUGAAAGUGCAUCGUGAUAGGGAUAGACUAUUGCAAUUAUUGGUCUUCAACGAGGAAUUCCUAGUAGACGUAGUUCAUCAGACUGCAUCGAUUACGUCCCUGCCCUUUGUACACACCGCCCGUCGCUCCUACCGAUUGAAUGCUCAGGUGAGCCAUUCGGACCUUCAUCAUGCCGGUUUCCGGUUUUGAUGAGGGAAAGUCUUGCGAACCUUAUCAUUUAGAGGAAGGAGAAGUCGUAACA